RNAcentral lists this ribosomal RNA (1719 nucleotides) under Triticum aestivum (bread wheat). RNAcentral's name for it is "partial small subunit ribosomal RNA". The record is from RNAcentral. Lineage: Eukaryota; Viridiplantae; Streptophyta; Magnoliopsida; Poales; Poaceae.
AUGUCGCCCUGCUCCGAUUCCACGGUCACCGUGUCGUACCGACAUGGUGAGCAUGCGGGCGAUGGCAUCACGGCCUCUUUGCUCCCCAAGGCUGAGGUGGUCGUGCCCAUGGAGGAGCUGCCGCCGGUGCUCACUUGCAAGCCGCCAGGUCGGCUUGCCACAGCGGUAAAGGAAGCCUGGUCCGUUUCUUUGUCCUUGGCAUUUCCCAUGCUGCCGUCGAUGUCGGCCGCCGCGGCUGGGGGGGAGGCGCGGUCCAUACUGGGCCUCGCGAUGCCCAUGAUUCUCACGGGGCUGCUGCUCUACCUCCGGUCCAUGAUUUCGAUGCUCUUCCUCGGCCGCCUCGGGGGGCUGGCACUCGCCGGCGGGUCACUCGCCAUCGGCUUCGCCAACAUCACCGGCUACUCCGUGCUAUCUGGCCUCGCCAUGGGUAUGGAGCCCAUCUGUGGGCAGGCCUUCGGCGCAGGCCAUUACGAGCUCCUCGGUGUCACCAUGCAGCGCACCGUGCUGCUGCUCGUCGCGGCCGCUGUUCCCAUCGGCGGGCUGUGGAUGCAUAUGCGACCUCUGCUUUUGCUCUGCGGCCAGGACGUCGGCAUCGCAGCGGUCGCUGAGACCUACAUUCUUGCCUCCUUGCCGGACCUCCUCCUCCAGGCGUUCCUCCACCCCGUCCGCAUCUACCUCCGGACGCAAUCCAUCAACCUGCCGCUCACCGUGUGCGCCGCGCUCGCCAUUGCACUCCACCUGCCCAUCAACUACGUGCUCGUCUCCGUCCUGGGACAUGGCAUCAGGGGGGUGGCAUUGGCAUCUGUGCUCGCCAAUCUAAACUUUCUCCUCCUCCUCCUUGGUUACGUAUUGUACAAGGGAGUGCACAAGCGCACCGGCGGCUUUGCGUUCUCGGCCGAGAGCUUCCGUGGCUGGGGAGAGCUCGUAAGCCUCGCCCUGCCGAGCUGCGUCAGCGUCUGCCUGGAGUGGUGGUGGUACGAGAUCAUGAUCCUCCUGUGCGGCCUGCUCGCCAACCCACAGGCCACUGUGGCCUCCAUGGGAAUCUUGAUCCAGACGACAUCACUCAUCUACAUCUUCCCUUCCUCGCUUGGCUUCGGCGUCUCCACUCGCGUCAGCAAUGAACUCGGCGCAAACCGUGCCGAGCGCGCGGGCCGUGCCGCCACGGUGGGUCUCAUGCUCGGGUUCGCGUUCGGCGGCGCGGCGUCGGCGUUCGCGUACCUGGUGCGGGGCUCGUGGGCUGCCAUGUUCACGGCGGACCCGGCGAUCAUCACGCUCACCGCGUCCGUGCUGCCGAUCCUGGGAGCAUGCGAGCUCGGCAACUGUCCGCAGACGGCGGGGUGCGGCGUGCUGCGGGGCAGCGCGCGGCCCAAGGACGCCGCUAGCAUCAACCUCCGGUCGUUCUACCUCGUCGGCACGCCGGUGGCGCUCGUCCUCGCGUUCUGGUACCACUAUGACUUCCAGGGCCUGUGGCUCGGCCUCCUCGCGGCGCAGGCCGCCUGCAUGGUGCGCAUGCUGCUGGCCAUCGGGCGGACGGAUUGGGCUGCGGAGGCCAAGCGCGCGCAGCAGCUCACCGGAGCAGGCGCGGUAACGGUGGCAGUGGACACAAAACCGAGCAGCGGCAAAGGCAUUCACAUCGUGAGAGUCGCGGCCGGCGGCGGCGAUGAGAACUCCGGGCUGCUUAUCGAUGUUGUCAUCGAGCAACCAAACGAUCAGUGCUGA